RNAcentral lists this ribosomal RNA (360 nucleotides) under uncultured soil bacterium. RNAcentral describes it as "bacterial SSU rRNA". It matches the Rfam family "Bacterial small subunit ribosomal RNA", at positions 26 to 377 of the family's 1533-position model. The record is from RNAcentral.
AGAGUGAACGCUGGCGGCAGGCCUAACACAUGCAAGUCGAACGGCAGCACAGAGGAGCUUGCUCCUUGGGUGGCGAGUGGCGGACGGGGUGAGGGAAUACAUCGGGAUCUGCCUUAUCGUGGGGGGAUAACGUAGGGAAACUUACGCUAAUACCGCAUACGACCUACGGGUGAAAGCGGAGACCUUCGGGCUUCGCGCGAUAAGAUGAGCCGAUGUCGGAUUAGCUAGUUGGCGGGGUGAAGGCCCACCAAGGCGACGAUCCGUAGCGUGGUCUGAGAGGAGUGAUCACGCCACACUGGAACUGAGACACGGUCAGACUCCGUACGGGAGCAGCAGUAGGGGAAUAUUGGACAAGUGGGC